GACGUAGGGCGCGAGCGUUGUCCGGAUUUAUUGGGCGUAAAGAGCUCGUAGGCGGCUUGUUGCGUCGACCGUGAAAACCCGGGGCUCAACUUCGGGCUUGCGGUCGAUACGGGCGGGCUAGAGUUCGGUAGGGGAGACUGGAAUUCCUGGUGUAGCGGUGAAAUGCGCAGAUAUCAGGAGGACCACCGGUGGCGAAGGCGGGUCUCUGGACAGUUCCUGACGCUGAGGCACGAAGGUCAGGGGAGCAAACGGG
Molecule: ribosomal RNA, 253 nt
Filed under: uncultured bacterium
Lineage: Bacteria
Description: partial 16S ribosomal RNA
Rfam family: Bacterial small subunit ribosomal RNA
Source: RNAcentral